This 529-nucleotide ribosomal RNA is filed under the name uncultured bacterium. Its description in RNAcentral is "bacterial SSU rRNA". It matches the Rfam family "Bacterial small subunit ribosomal RNA", at positions 524 to 1050 of the family's 1533-position model. The record is from RNAcentral.
UACGUAGGGAGCGAGCGUUGUCCGGAUUUACUGGGCGUAAAGGGUGCGUAGGCGGCUCUGCAAGUCAGGUGUGAAAACCAUCGGCUUAACUGAUGGACUGCAUUUGAAACUGUGGGGCUUGAGUGAAGUAGAGGCAGACGGAAUUCCCGGUGUAGCGGUGAAAUGCGUAGAGAUCGGGAGGAACACCAGUGGCGAAGGCGGUCUGCUGGGCUUUAACUGACGCUGAGGCACGAAAGCAUGGGUAGCAAACAGGAUUAGAUACCCUGGUAGUCCAUGCCGUAAACGAUGAUUACUAGGUGUGGGGGGUCUGACCCCCUCCGUGCCGGAGUUAACACAAUAAGUAAUCCACCUGGGAAGUACGACCGCAAGGUUGAAACUCAAAGGAAUUGACGGGGGCCCGCACAAGCAGUGGAGUAUGUGGUUUAAUUCGAAGCAACGCGAAGAACCUUACCAGAUCUUGACAUCCAGCUAAUUCUGUAGAAAUACGGAAGUGCCCUUCGGGGAAAGCUGAGACAGGUGGUGCAUGGUU